This is a long non-coding RNA of Cyprinus carpio (common carp), 817 nucleotides long. RefSeq lists it as uncharacterized. The transcript has 4 exons. NCBI's taxonomy places the organism in Eukaryota, Metazoa, Chordata, Actinopteri, Cypriniformes, Cyprinidae. The record is from RefSeq and is a predicted model, not a curated record.
AGGCAGAAUGACUUUCUUUCAGAAGCGGACUGUAAUAAAUCACUAUUAUCUGUGCAUGUACUGGAAGUGGCUGUGGCAGAGAGGUUGGGCUGCUCGGGUAACCAUAGCACAGUUGAGAUUAUACCCCUGGAGUCCAGAGACCCUAGAGAGAACAGGCUGUGCUCUUAUUUGUGGAUAUUGCUGUUCCUAACCUCACCCGUGCUUGUAACUCAGACACAUAUCAGCUCAGGAAAAGGGCGCUGGUCUGUUUAAGAGAGCUGUUUUAUAGACCUGAAAGACACAAAAAGCAGAGAUUCAGUGAUAGUGGGAGCUUUCCACAUCAUGGAUGGAUGGAAAACCACAGGGAAGGCCAUCAUGCCACAGCUGGUGGUGAAGAUUGUUGGUGGGAAACAAAUUAAGUAUUUUACUGAUGGGACAAAAAGUCCCACAGAUCAUCUUGAGGUAACAAACUGCUCAGAGGACAGACACAGUCCACCUGUCAGAGUCACGGAUGGAGAUUUAAGCAGAAAAUCACCUUCUCAUGACCUGGAGCAUCUGAGACCAGUUGAGCACACAGCAAACCUGUUAGAUGCCAUCAGACAGGUUCCAGAAAGACGUUGUGUGACGGCGCCAUGUGGAGAUCGUUCACGGUCCUACAUACAUCUGAAGUCCUCAACCAACAUGGGUUACUCAAAACAAAUCAUGCAAAUUCCUCAUAUUACAGAGGAACAGGUAAGAUAUAAUGUGCAUGCUGUCUUUAAUCAACUUGAACUGUAAGUAUAUAUAACUAUACCACUGUUCAAAUGUUUGAGGUCGGAAAGUUUUUAUGUUUUUGUAA